This 406-nucleotide ribosomal RNA is filed under the name uncultured bacterium. Its description in RNAcentral is "partial 16S ribosomal RNA". It matches the Rfam family "Bacterial small subunit ribosomal RNA", at positions 30 to 526 of the family's 1533-position model. The record is from RNAcentral.
AUUGAACGCUGGCGGCAGGCCUAACACAUGCAAGUCGAACGAGUGGCGGACGGGUGAGUAAUGUCUGGGAAACUGCCUGAUGGAGGGGGAUAACUACUGGAAACGGUAGCUAAUACCGCAUACCAUCAGAUGUGCCCCGAUGGGAGUAGCUAGUUGGUGGUGUAACGGCUCACCACGGCGACGAUCCCUAUCUGGUCGGAGAGGAUGACCAGCAACACUGGAAUUGUGCCACGGUCCAGACUCCUACGGGAGGCAGCAGUGGGGAAUAUUGCACAAUGGGCGAAAGCCUGAUGCGGCCAUGCCGCGUGUAUGAAGAAGGUCUUCGGGUUGUAAAGUACGUUCAGCGGGGAGGCGUUACCCGCAGAAGAAGCACCGGCUAACUCCGUGCCAGCAGCCGCGGUAAUAC